CUGGUGCAGGUAUUGGACGAGCUGUCGCGCUAUCGCCGCGGCGUGUUCUGGUACGACUCCAGCGCAUUGGCC
This 72-nucleotide transfer RNA is filed under the name Achromobacter xylosoxidans. RNAcentral's name for it is "tRNA-Asp". Lineage: Bacteria; Pseudomonadati; Pseudomonadota; Betaproteobacteria; Burkholderiales; Alcaligenaceae. The record is from RNAcentral.